Molecule: long non-coding RNA, 513 nt
Organism: Aquila chrysaetos chrysaetos
Lineage: Eukaryota; Metazoa; Chordata; Aves; Accipitriformes; Accipitridae
Source: Ensembl
CCCUGGUGGGUGCUGGGGCCUGGGGUGCCCCAUCGGGCUCACCCAUGGGAACGUUUCUCCCCUGCAGAACUGGUGCAUCAAGCGGCGAUCCCAGUCCAUCUACCUGCAGGUGCUGACGGACAAGCAUGCGCCGGAGCACUACAGGGUCCUGGGCAGCGUCUCGCAGUUCGAGGAGUUCGGACGGGUUUUCCACUGCCCCAAGAACUCGCCCAUGAACCCGGCGCACAAGUGCUCGGUGUGGUGAGGCCGAUCCCCCCGGCAGGCUGGCAACCCCUGGUCCCCAUUCCUGCCCGUGUGCCACCCUGUGCCGGCUCCUCACCUCCGCCCAUCUUCCCGCUCCUACUCUCCAGGCGAAGGGGGCACCCCUGGGUGACACAGGGGCUCACCCCCCCCCAAAGACGGGCAUCUGCCCGAGGGGUGGAGGCAGCGGGGAGGCAGUUGGGGUGGGCAUGAGCUCCUGCCCAGACACAGCUGCCUCCUGCCCAUUCUCUUCCUACCCUCUGCCCUGCAAAC